UAGGAAUGCACAUCUUACGAUGCAGGUCGAGCGGAGCGUAUUAGCGGAAGUUUUCGGAUGGAAGCGGAUAUGACUUAGCGGCGGACGGGUGAGUAACGCGUGGAUAACCUGCCUCAUACAGGGGGAUAACAGUUAGAAAUGACUGCUAAUACCGCAUAAGCGCACAGGACCGCAUGGUCCGGUGUGAAAAACUCCGGUGGUAUGGGAUGGAUCCGCGUCUGAUUAGCUGGUUGGUGAGGUAACGGCCCACCAAGGCGACGAUCAGUAGCCGACCUGAGAGGGUGGCCGGCCACAUUGGGACUGAGACACGGCCCAAACUCCUACGGGAGGCAGCAGUGGGGAAUAUUGCACAAUGGGGGAAACCCUGAUGCAGCAACGCCGCGUGAGUGAAGAAGUAUUUCGGUAUGUAAAGCUCUAUCAGCAGGGAAGAAGAAAGACGGUACCUGACUAAGAAGCCCCGGCUAACUACGUGCCAGCAGCCGCGGUAAUACGUAGGGGGCAAGCGUUAUCCGGAUUUACUGGGUGUAAAGGGAGCGUAGACGGCUGUGCAAGUCUGAAGUGAAAGCCCGUGGCUCAACCGCGGAACUGCUUUGGAAACUGUAUAGCUUGAGUACUGGAGAGGCAGGCGGAAUUCCUAGUGUAGCGGUGAAAUGCGUAGAUAUUAGGAGGAACACCAGUGGCGAAGGCGGCCUGCUGGACAGAAACUGACGUUGAGGCUCGAAAGCGUGGGGAGCAAACAGGAUUAGAUACCCUGGUAGUCCACGCGGUAAACGAUGAAUGCUAGGUGUUGGGGAGCAAAGCUCUUCGGUGCCGUCGCAAACGCAGUAAGCAUUCCACCUGGGGAGUACGUUCGCAAGAAUGAAACUCAAAGGGAAUUGACGGGGACCCGCACAAGCGGUGGAGCAUGUGGUUUAAUUCGAAGCAACGCGAAGAACCUUUACCAAGUCUUGACAUCCUCCUGAAUGAUGGGUAAAGCCGUCAGUCUUCGGGACAGAGAGAA
RNAcentral lists this ribosomal RNA (1000 nucleotides) under uncultured bacterium. RNAcentral describes it as "bacterial SSU rRNA". It matches the Rfam family "Bacterial small subunit ribosomal RNA", at positions 37 to 1035 of the family's 1533-position model. The record is from RNAcentral.